AUCCCACUUUUAUAUAAUCAAAAUGCUGCAGAUAACACAAGAUGUACAUAAAAAAAAAAAAACAAGCUUCAUGACGCUCAUGUCAUACGCUGCAGUACCUACGCUGACAUCCCUGAAUAGUAUAUAAUAGGAGAUUACCUAGCAUUAGCAUCAUCAGUCGUCAAUACUCUUACCUGUUCGGUACCUGAUAUUAUUUUUGAUUUUUUCAAAGUUCAAACUCAACUUUUUUUCGAAAUCAUGAAGCCGAUUGUUGCUGUAUUUUUCGCUCUGAUGGCUCUCUGCGUCGCUGUCAAUUUCGUCGAAUCUACAAUUUGCGCAAAGGAUCUUCGUUCUGGUGGUCCCCAAAAUUUUAACGACAUCAACGCGAUGUAUGCUGAAAACAGUCGUGGAGGAGCAUAUGUUUACCAGCACGAUGGACCUUGCUAAACAUGGUUGAAAAACACUCCGUUGCGUACCAUUAUUCAUCAGCAAGUAAAAUAAUUAAAAUGAAACAGAUUACCUGAAAAAUUAAACUUCAAAUCAGCUAUAGAAAUUUUGUACAAUGUAAAAUUAAAAUAAAAUAAUAAACUCAAUUUUUCAAUUAA
Molecule: long non-coding RNA, 584 nt
Organism: Planococcus citri (citrus mealybug)
Lineage: Eukaryota; Metazoa; Arthropoda; Insecta; Hemiptera; Pseudococcidae
Exons: 4
Source: RefSeq, a predicted model, not a curated record